CCCCACAGUAUGAGUAACUGUAUUAAAGGCCACAGCAUUAAGAAGCUUGAGAAGCUUUAUCUCAUUGGAAUGGUGAGUGGAAAGGUGAUCAACCAACAUGUUGCAUGUCACUGGGUAAAAUUACAAUUUUGCCCUUAGUCGAAAGGGAUUUAACUUCACAUAUAAAUCAGAUGACUUUCAAACUGAAAUCAGAGAGACUGAAAAUUUAUUGUGAGAGUCUGAAUCUUGAUCUGGGCGGGUGAUGCAGUCAACAAGGUGUUUGCUAUGUGAACUCGAAUACCCCAGUUCAGAUGCCCAGAGCACACGGAAAAUGGUGGUGUGGGACCUGUGCCUGCAUCCUCGUGAUGAAGAGGCAGACAGGGGCAUCUCUGAGACUGCUGAUCAGCUAGUCUAGUCAAAUUAGUAAGCUCCAGGCUCAGUGAGAGACCCUCUCUCCAAACUAAGGUGGCUAGUGAUCAAGGAAGGGAUCUAAUGUGAGUGUCUAACCUCUGUAGACUCGGACAGAGGUGAGCAUGAGCUCACAUACACACGAAAUUGUGAAUCUUGACAUGUUAGAAAGUGGGAUGUAUUCCUAUCUGCAAAGGUCAAGUGAUUAGGAAGCCAUGAUAGAGCAUUUUUGUUUUGACAAUUCAUCUUGGGAAGAUACUGUAGGUCAUCCAAUCACUUACAGAUUUGAUAGAUUUUCACAGAUACAAGUCUUCACUUCUGUUUUGCUAAAGAAUCAGACUGGAUUCCGGGAUUACUUAGGCUUUCAUGGGGCUAAGCAUGCUUUAUGCCUUUAAGGAAGCUUGGCCCAACUCUGCCAGCUCACCAAUGGGAAAGGUUGGCAAAAUUCCAAAGGCGAUUUGCAUUAUAUCUGUUAUGUCACAGGGUGGAGUGUGUUUGGGUGGGUGAAAGGGGAAGCCUAUAAUUUUAUAGCUAUUAGUAGAACAUUUCUGCUAAGCCUCUUUUUAUUCUAAAAAUUGGAAAGAAUCUCAGCACUCGGGACAAUUCUAGGCUGCCCCGCCACCAGAAUAGAAUGUAUCCAGACGCAGGGUACUAAUUCUUGACCAUACAAGUCACAGAGUAUAAAUAUUGAGUCCCAAAUAUUAACACCUUUGUCCCAUUUUUCUUUCUUUCUUUUUUAAAGAUCAGCAUUGUCUUUUGUGAAGAAUUUUCUUUAUAAAUAAAGAGGUAGGGUUUUGAACUUAAUUCUAACUACUUAGGAAAGAUGGUGCCACUGCUGUCUUGCUUAGAAAGAUGGAGAACGGUCAAGCUCACUACAGAGCCAUGACUUGCUUCCGUAUUGAUAGCCAUCCUGUGUGCCAGAUGUACACAUGUUCUUCUAGCCUCUUGACUAGAACGCUAGACGAUUGCCCUGUAAAUAAAUCAGAGCAACAGCCACGUCAUGCUUUCUCGCUGUCUGGGGUCACCCUCAUGUGACGCUUAGCGACUUCAUUCCACUUGGGUAAUCAGGUGAAGGAGCGCCCCGCGAUCGUCCAUGGGUCAGCUAUGUGGACUCUAGCUGCCAAAGGCGCUUCUCCUUCUGAACCGAGCGCUUUGCUCAGCCAGUGUAGACAUGGCCUGAUAAACAUUGGAGCUUCCUGCCUUGAGAACUGGAGUAGUGGCUUGGCCUAAUCCUUGAACUGAGAAUCGGGCACAGGUUUGAUGAAUGGUUGAGAUGACGACAUCUCUAGUAAAGCGGAUCCUAAAUUGGCGAUAAUGGGAUGAGUAGCGUCAUUUAUAAUGAGCUUCAAAGGGUUAGCACUGAGUGCAGCAAAAGCCAAUCAAGGGGUGAUCAAAUCAAAGGUUUCGCGUGAGCUUAACUAUGUGUGGCAGGGAGAUUCUUGCAGGCUUAUGUCUGUCAGGUCUUAGCACUAAACCUGUCAGAGCGUUGCCUGGCCAUGUCAUUUUUUUUAACCAAGAUGUCACCUUCCUCAGGAGAAGCAACCUGCCUUGUGCUCUCCUCCCUCUGUUUUGUUGGGGAGCGCAAAUGAAGUGGGGCGCGGGACAGGGGGCGCCUUUGCGAAUCCCGCACUUUGAUUUUGCAGACUCGCAGGCUGGCAGAGUCAAGGGAGGAUGUGGCUUAUGAACAGCAGCCCUGCACCCUGCCCAGGCUGCCUCCAGGGAGCGGGGGAGCAUUUCCAGACCUGUCCAGAGAAGUCUGCCCAGGGUCAUUGAGAUACCCCUGAGAUUUCAAUCGGGUGCGUGAAGGACGCUGGAAACAUGAAUCACUGUCUGUGUUUUUCUUUUCAUGCACAUAAGGCCACCAAGAGAAGGGGGGUAAGGGGAACUUCAGCCUUAAAACACAACCCCUGUCUCCUAGAAUUUGACACACUCCAAACCAGGCCUUCCCAGACCCUCUGUAGCUCACCAAGCUUCCAAGUUUUAAAUAUUAAAACCAUGAGGCUAGUUUUUCACAUAUUGAAAACAACUCGAUUUGGGAGCUGUGUUUAAAAAAAAACAAACAAACAAACCUGAGACUUGUACUUUGACUUUUUGCUCAUUUAUCUAUUUCCUCAGGAAAAAAGAAAGUGUUACUGGUGGUAUGAAUUAACUGUGAGAAUCCUAAGAAAAAUAUUACCUUCCAAUUCUCUUCAAAAUAGAUGCUCACAUUAUCUUUAAAUGGUGGCUAAGUGGUUCAGCGAAAAGCAUGCAGCGUUAACAGCUUCAGAAAAUAUAAACCCUGUCUCUUUAGAAGUGCAAGUUGUGCUGAAGAGCCCAUACGCUUAAUUCGUUGAGCAACCACACAGUCUUUGCCGCUGUAUUUCGUUAGAAAGGAAGGAGAGGCUUGUUUCUACAGGGUGUCACAGAAAAAUCGAUGCUGAGCCACAGAUUAUUGGAUCCCACAGAACCGUGGAGACUCGGCAGUGAAAUUCUUCCAAAGGUGAGUAGGGACAUUGAUUUUCUUUCUUGUGCCGGAGGAAAUAUGGCCCAAGGAACAGAGACUAAUUUUAGAUUGGAAACAAGUAUGACAUGACCCCUUUACUUCCAAAAAAAAUUUAAAAAAUGCAGUAACUUUGCCAAACAAAUAAGUGUGGAAAUUCAAUAAGCAUAGAAGUUGGUCUCAUUCAGUGUUUUUAGAUUUUUUUUUUUAUAAAAAAAAGAAUCUUUGGUACAUUUUAUUUAAAAAGUAUCUUUGUUUGAACUUUUAUCUGUAGCUUAGAUUCAGCUAAAAGUAUUUUGGUGAAAUGUUUUUAUCAUGUAAUAUGAAAGUCUCCUUCUUAAAUUCCUGACGUGAGUGUAACAUCCUGUCCGUUUCUAAGGAAAGCAAACCCGUUAUUUAUACCAGCUCAGUUAAGACAGGAGCCCAUCACCAACCUUCAUCCUCAAACUCUAUAUCCCGUCGAAUCUGUACCACGGCUUCUACGCUCACGCUCGCUUGUUGGCGUGUUUACGGGACAGCCUCUUCUGGAUCUCUGAGUUGAAAGAAAAAGGAACAAAACAAAACAAAACAAAAAAAACCCAAAGCAAAGCUGUUCCUCACACCUUGAUUGUUUCCCUGUAUCACUUAGCAUUCCAUCUGCGAAGGCAGAGGUGUCCCUGGUUUGGGAAGUAUAAAUCCCGCGGGAAGUCAGCUGGGGAACAUUUUACGCAUCGCUCAUUCUGUUACGAGCCUGCUGCUCUUCCAUCUUCCGACAAGGCCAACUAGACAGUGUCCUGACUCUGGCUGUGCCUGACAUCCCUGCUCUGUGCAAGACAACCGAUGUGAAGAGCCCAGAAUUAUACAUAAAAUAACUGGAAGUGAAACUCUUUGGAUUUCCCGUUCAAUGUGCUUCUAUUGUAUUCCGCUUGGCAGCUAAAGGACAGAAGCCACAAUAAGGCUGCCUGGCUACAUUUUCACAGUGCCACCAACUGCGAGUUAAGCUGACGAACCUUUCGAGAGCUCGGCCCAUUUCAUUCACAGCAGGAUGGCAGGAAUUACCAAGUGGAAUAAACUAAAAAUCAUGCUUUUAUUGCACGUUUGCAUUGAAUCUCAGGACUGAGAAAUGAUGAAAUUCUGCUCAGCAAGGUUAUGCUUCGCAUCACCCACCAGGGAGGAUCAUCUCUCAUGAAAACUUUCAAAUUUGAUUUUGAAAAUUUAUUCAGAAAAAUUUAAGCCACGCUCUUUUUUUCCCCAACACAAGAAAUAAUAUGCUCUGGAGAACCCGCUAAUUCACAGAAAAUGGACUGGGAUAACAUUCGGGUUCUCAUCCUACCACAGUCCCCUUGAGAAGGACGGCCAGGAGGCUAAUAAUGAAGGGGCCAGGGAAGGAGGCCAAUACUACAAGGGUUAUCUCACCACCUCAGAUGCUGGAUAAGUUGGAGGAGGCAGACUCGCUUCUGGAUGACAUUCAGAAAGACUGGAGCGAUUAUUUGGAAGAGAAACCCCUGCCUCUGUUUUCAAAGGUACGUGAAUAUUGUCGAGACCUGCUUGUCGAAAGGUCCCGUCCUUAGAAUCCUGCCUUAGACAAAGGACGCACUCGGAGCCUCACCACACCUAAAAGCACGUUUUGAAGGAUCUGCCAAGCUCACUUUUAAUCAUGUGAAAGAAAUUACCCACACGGAGGCUGCAGAAAAUGAGAAAGUAGAGUUCGUGCCGUGAUUAAUUCCAGCGAGUGCCAAGGGGCUAGUUGAGGAAUGGCGUCAUGAGAUGUUAGUCUGUCUAGAACAACACCUGAGGAUCUAAGCCGGACGUUUGAGAAAGAAACGACUUCAAGUAAAGACUCCUUUCCCUAUGGUUUAAUUCCUUACUUUUUACCUGGACUGUAUAAGAUGCACUGUCAAACUAUGCUCAGCCUUUCUGCUCUCUGAGGAUUUUUUUGUUUGUUUGUUUGAACUGCUUAGAACUGACUAUUGAACUGCAUAUUAA
Non-coding RNA from Myodes glareolus (Bank vole), 4831 nucleotides. Lineage: Eukaryota; Metazoa; Chordata; Mammalia; Rodentia; Cricetidae. The record is from RefSeq and is a predicted model, not a curated record.